CAUCACUGAACCAACUGUCGUCAUUCCGCUUUGCUCUCUGCUGUGGAACUUGACUCACAUCUGUGCUUUGCCUGUGUGCAGAAGAAGAACAAGGACCAGAUCUCCAGUCUUCUCUCUCACAUCCCAACCCCCCAACCCCUCUAUCCUCUGUACUGCUCCACCUGUUGUCUCUGCCUUCUUUCCAUCUGUAUUUCACCCUGUGGUUUGUGAGAAAUUUUGCCAAACCAAGAAUCUUAUUGCGGUUUGAUUUCAAAGCCGUGUCUCUCCUGCUCUGCCUGUUCUCUCUUCUAAAUUUUCUCUCUACCUGUUUUUCACUCUUGGCUUGCUGCUGAAAAAUGCCAAGCCAUUGAAGCAAUAAAGAGUGCAUAUAUUGCCUCUACCUGAGAACAAACUGAACAAACAAAGAAAACUCUAAUUCACGGUUUGAUUGUGAUUUCCCAGCCGUGUCUCUCCUGCUCUGCCUGUUCUCUCUUCUAGAUUUUCUCUCUACCUGUUUUUCAUUCUGGGCUUGCUGCU
Long non-coding RNA from Oreochromis niloticus (Nile tilapia), 516 nucleotides. RefSeq lists it as uncharacterized. The record is from RefSeq and is a predicted model, not a curated record. The transcript is spliced from 3 exons. NCBI's taxonomy places the organism in Eukaryota, Metazoa, Chordata, Actinopteri, Cichliformes, Cichlidae.